AGGAGAGUUUGAUCCUGGCUCAGGAUGAACGCUGGCGGCGUGCUUAACACAUGCAAGUCGAGCGAAGCACUUUCACAGAUUUCUUCGGAUUGAAGUGGAUUUGACUUAGCGGCGGACGGGUGAGUAACGCGUGGGGAACCUGCCCCAUACCGGGGGAUAACAGUUAGAAAUGACUGCUAAUACCGCAUAAGCGCACAGUGAGGCAUCUCACAGUGUGAAAAACUCCGGUGGUAUGGGAUGGACCCGCGUUAGAUUAGCCAGUUGGCGGGGUAACGGCCCACCAAAGCGACGAUCCAUAGCCGGCCUGAGAGGGCGACCGGCCACAUUGGGACUGAGACACGGCCCAAACUCCUACGGGAGGCAGCAGUGGGGAAUAUUGCACAAUGGGGGAAACCCUGAUGCAGCGACGCCGCGUGAGUGAAGAAGUAUUUCGGUAUGUAAAGCUCUAUCAGCAGGGAAGAAGACGACGGUACCUGACUAAGAAGCCCCGGCUAACUACGUGCCAGCAGCCGCGGUAAUACGUAGGGGGCAAGCGUUAUCCGGAUUUACUGGGUGUAAAGGGAGCGCAGACGGCACAGCAAGUCUGAAGUGAAAACCCGGGGCUCAACCCCGUGAUUGCUUUGGAAACUGUUGAGCUAGAGUACCGGAGGGGUAAGCGGAAUUCCUAGUGUAGCGGUGAAAUGCGUAGAUAUUAGGAGGAACACCGGUGGCGAAGGCGGCUUACUGGACGGUAACUGACGUUGAGGCUCGAAAGCGUGGGGAGCAAACAGGAUUAGAUACCCUGGUAGUCCCCU
RNAcentral lists this ribosomal RNA (794 nucleotides) under uncultured Bacillota bacterium. RNAcentral describes it as "bacterial SSU rRNA". It matches the Rfam family "Bacterial small subunit ribosomal RNA", at positions 1 to 799 of the family's 1533-position model. The record is from RNAcentral. Lineage: Bacteria; Bacillati; Bacillota.